CCGAACUUCUGGCAAGGACAGAGCCGAAGAGUAUCAAUGUAGCCAAAAAAUUCGAUCUGAGAAAAGUUAUCUGCAGAAAGACCUUCAGCUGCCCGAAGGGCUGCACUUCAGAGAGCCUUGUCCUCCUUUUAGGCCAGAUUCUAUUUGACAGUCUGAGGACUGUCAAAAAAUAGCCACAAAAUGGAAUCAUCAGUACCGUAUUCCUGGAAGCACUGGUCCUUAGGGAUCCAGAAUACUUGGGGAAUACUUUAUUCUGAUUGAACCACCACUUCCCUAAUCAAUCAUGUUGGCUACUGAACAGCAACCAGAGUGCCUUUAUGCAGACGAAAAUCGCCACAGCCUAAAUCCGUAUGAACAAUGUCUUGCCCAUUUCAAAUGGAAGGUUUUCAUUCAUGCUUAAAUAGCAGCAUUUCAUAAAGGAAAUAUCCAUAGCAGAAUAAAUGACUCCUGUACCAAAAAUUUCUGAGACUCUUUAGAAUUAAAGUCACAGUUCAAAUAGA
Long non-coding RNA from Homo sapiens (human), 500 nucleotides. Lineage: Eukaryota; Metazoa; Chordata; Mammalia; Primates; Hominidae. The record is from Ensembl.